Balaenoptera musculus (blue whale) is the source of this 1247-nucleotide long non-coding RNA. RefSeq lists it as uncharacterized. The transcript has 4 exons. The record is from RefSeq and is a predicted model, not a curated record. Lineage: Eukaryota; Metazoa; Chordata; Mammalia; Artiodactyla; Balaenopteridae.
GGAAUCGGGCCACGUUGCCCCUGGGGCGGGACACGGAUGCCAGAUGCCACGAGGGCUCAGGGACCACCCUCCUCCGCGGCCUCCCGGCUCCCCGUUCUGGAGCUUGGCUCUUCCCUCCGCGGGGGAGACAGUGGGGAGCCGGCUUGGCCGGCCCCCUCCACCCGAGGGACACGGGGGGCGUCACGUGGGCCUUUGAAGCUCCCCUCCGGCUGGAGGGUGAAGGUCCGGGCAAACUCCACCCUUCAGCGUUGAUUUAAAGUGAUGGGGAAGGUCGGGAAGGAGGCUGGAGAACGGAGUCAAUGGUAUUUUCCUGAGAGAAAUAAUUCAUGGGGCCCCGAGGACCCCGACUCAAGGCCAGGGGAGGAAUCCCAUCCUUCAUCUGCUGCACUUCCAGAGCUGGCCGCCCGCACGCCCCCGGACGCAGCCCCCAGACCCUUCCCACACGGCGGCCCUCUGCUGUCCUCGCUGUGCCCUCCACGUCCCCCAGGGCCUGGCAUCUGCCGGUCACGGCCACGGAGGUGGGCCGAGGCGUCCUCUGUCCUCAGCACCCCCAGGGCUGGUGGAUGGAGUGGCCACAGCAGCGCCGGGUGGGGGUGGGACACGGGGUGUCCGGCACAGAGCCGAGUGUGCGGGGCAGGGGUGGGGUUGCCUUGCAGGGCGCUGAGCAACAGGAAACGGGCCUUCAGCUGGGGGGCUGCUUGCCCCCACCCCAGGCACGGAGCCUUGAGAAGGCGCUGUUUGACACCCCUGCCCCUCCCUGGCUGGAGGCUGGAGGCUAGAGGCUUGGCAGGGAGACAGCCGGUGCCUCCUCGGGAGGUCUCUCUGCCCCAGGGCCAUUCGUCGCCUUGUGGGGGCUGUGAGACCCAGGAUACGGCAGGCAGAGCCCGCGAGGGGCGGCGCUGGGGGCUGGGCCAGCCGCCUUCUCAGUCCCCUGUGGCUGCCACGGGCCCUGCUUGGAGCCAGCAGGCCUGUGCUGAUGAGUUAUAGUUGCAGCAGGCCCGGCCUGUGGCCCACGGGACGCAUCCCAGACCCCCCAGCAGCUCCAGGGCCAGAGUCUCCCCGGGGCCGCAUCAUGCUGUCAUCCCAGCUCCACGUGCAUCGUUUAAGUAACCGACUGCAGAGCAGCCCCGCACCCUCCUGCCGACGCUCGCCACCCCCCCACUCCCCACCCCAGCCCCGCCGACACAAGCCUGCUUCCGUCUCUGCGGAUUUGCCUGCUCUGGACACUUCAUGGAAAUGGAGUCUGU